UGCUCCCUACGGGGCGCAGCAGUAGGGAAUCUUCCACAAUAGACGAAAGUCUGAUGGAGCAACACCGCGUGAGUGAAGAAGGGUUUCGGCUCGUAAAGCUCUGUUUGUAGUGAAGAAAGAUUGAGGUAGUAACUGGCCUUUAUUUUACGGUAAUUACUUUGAAAGUCACUGCUAACUACGUGCCAGCAGCCGCGGUAAUACGUAGGUGGCAAGCGUUUUCCGGAUUUAUUGGGCGUAAAGCGAGUGCAGGCGGUUUAA
RNAcentral lists this ribosomal RNA (258 nucleotides) under uncultured bacterium. RNAcentral's name for it is "partial 16S ribosomal RNA". It matches the Rfam family "Bacterial small subunit ribosomal RNA", at positions 333 to 583 of the family's 1533-position model. The record is from RNAcentral.